GGGGAAAAAUUAAUUAAUAAAAAAUAAUAAAAAUAAUUUUAAUUUAAUAAUAUUUGAUAGGGGUGUUAAAGUAUUAUUUAAAGAAUAAAUUAUUAAUUUUAUAGUAAAUUAGUAUUGUGAAAGAAUUAUGAAAUAUUUGAAAUAAAAAUUUAUUAAAAAGUAAUUUUUAUUUAUUGUAUCUUGUGUAUCAGAGUUUAUAAAAAAUUUUUAAUUUAUAAUUAAUUUCUCGAAUUUAAAAGAUUUAAAUAAUUAAAAAAGUUAUUGUGUCAAUAUUAUUUUUAAUAAUUAUUUUGAAAUGAAAUGUUAUUCGUUUUUAAAGAUAUCUAGUUUUUUUAGAAAAAAAUUAAAUUUUAAAUUUAAUUUUUGAUUAUUUUAAUUAAUUAAAUUUUUCAAUUUUUAAAUUUUAUAAUUUAAGGGAUAAGCUUUAAAUUAAAUUUUUAUAAUAAAAAUUUAUUAAUUUUAAAAAUUUUAUAAUUUAUAUUGUUAAUAAAUUUUAUUUUAUUAUAAAUAAUUUUAAUAAAUUAAAAAAUUUAAUGAUUUUUAUUUAAAUUUUUAUAAAAAAAUUAUUUUAAAUAAAAAAAAAUUAGAAAUAAUGAUAAAAUUAGUAUAUAAAUUUAAUUUAAAUUUAAAAUUAUUAUUUUUAAAUUAAUUAAUUAAAAGGAAUUCGGCAAAUAUUUAUAUUCACUUGUUUAACAAAAACAUGUCUUUUUGUAAUUAAUUUAAAGUCUAAUCUGCCCACUGAUUAAUUUAAUUAAAGGGCUGCAGUAUUUUGACUGUACAAAGGUAGCAUAAUCAUUAGUUUCUUAAUUGGUGACUUGUAUGAAAGAUUGGAUGAAAUAUAUACUGUCUCUUAAUUAAUUUAUAGAAUUUAAUUUUUUAUUUAAAAAGUUAAAAUAAAUUAAAAAGACGAGAAGACCCUAUAGAGUUUUAUAAUUUUAAUUAUAAUAAAUUAUUUAUUUUAUUUGGAUUUUUAUAUUUAUUAUUAUUUUAUUGGGGUGAUAAAAAAAUAAAUUUAACUUUUUUUUAAAAAUUAAACAUAAAUAAGUGAAUAUAUGAUCCAAUUUUAUUGAUUAUAAGAUUAAAUUACCUUAGGGAUAACAGCGUAAUUUUUUUUUUUAGUUCAAAUAAGAAAAAAAGUUUGCGACCUCGAUGUUGGAUUAAGAUAAAAUUUAAAUGCAAAAGUUUAAAAUUUUUGAUCUGUUCGAUCAUUAAAAUCUUACAUGAUCUGAGUUCAAACCGGUGUGAGCCAGGUUGGUUUCUAUCUUUUAAAAUUUUAAAUAUUUUAGUACGAAAGGAUCAAAUAUUUUAAUUAAAUUAUAUUUUUAGAAUUUUUUUAAAAUAAAUUUAAAAUAAUUAAUUAAAUGUAAAAAU
This 1371-nucleotide ribosomal RNA is filed under the name Ourapteryx ebuleata. RNAcentral describes it as "16S ribosomal RNA". Lineage: Eukaryota; Metazoa; Arthropoda; Insecta; Lepidoptera; Geometridae. The record is from RNAcentral.